GCCUCUGGGAUAUGCACUCCCACUGGGGAACCUGGCAAUCCAGGCCACGGGGAAGACCUUAACCCUACCCAGUGCUGGAGCUGAUUUAAUGAGCUGAGGGGAGUAUAUGAGAAGGAGCAGCUUCAGGAUGUGCUUUGCUUGCACUCCUAGACUCUACUGGGGACAGAGGGAAGCCAUUCCUGAUCCUACCUCACAGAGGACCAUGCAGAAGUCAGCCAACUAGCUCAGGCGGUGGCCAUGGGCUGAGAGGAGUGAGAAGCUCCCAACUGAGAUUCACAAUAUAAUCUCUAGCAGGGAUGGACCUCCUUGACCAGAACUGAGGGGCAAGUGGGAAGUGCGCUGUGCCCACAGGUGUAGGAGCUGGGUGCCCCUGCUUCGCUAGCAGAUCAGGAGGGGCAUGGCCUGAGCAGUUUUUGUCUUGGCAGCCAGAGAAGGCUUAUGGUCUGGGACAGUUUUGAGUGCUGAAUGCAGCCUGCUUGCAACCUAGAUGGCCGCUGCCAGUAGAACACUGUGGGUCUGAGACCUGUCUUGCCAAGUGCAUAGGGGCUGAGUGGGGCUUACUGCCACCUGUACUCCCCACUUCCUGUGUGGACUCUUCUGUGCGGCAGGGGCAACUGCACUCCUCCCUGGAACAUUAUCCCAGCAUCCAGAGAACUGCCCUCUGAUCCCCACUGGGCCACUGAUUGCACCUGCACGUGGAUAGCCAGAGCGCGAACUUGCCUGACUCAGCCCCGACCUGGUUUGCCUUUUUACCCACCCUGGUAGCUUAACACAAAGGACAGAAACUUUCGGGAGUGUUAUGGACCUGCCCAUUGCUUGAGACACCAGAGUACCUCCCCUGGUCACAUAAGCCAAGCAUGAAUUCCACCACUACUACUGCAGUCAGUGCUCUUUCGCACCAACUGCACCUCCUGGCUAUAGGCCAAUCAACAUAGUCCAUUACAACAUCUGUAGGCAGAAUAACACAGCACUGGGAAGGAGAAAACUUUUGCAUGACUACAGCUACCACCAUUGCCUGCAUCACCCUGGCUAACCAGGAGGUCUUGAGUCUGUUCACAUGACCAGAUCAUUACUACUACAACUGAAAUUAGAGAAAGCCAGCACACUAAGGCUAUUUGUAACCAAAGAAUCUCACAGAGUUUACUUUACUCCUCUGCCAGCCCCAUCAGAGCUGGUGCUGGUACCCACUGCUGGGAGACUUGAGGAUAAGUCACAUCGCUGGACCCUUUGCAGACAUUCCCUAGCACAGGCCUGGAAUGUAGCAGCCCCAUUGGGUGGCCAGAUCCAGAGCCGCAGCAGCAAUCAUAGUAGUCUGGCACUCAGGGACUCCUACUCCUAGGCCUCCGGUAAUCACCAUUUUACUCUCUACCUCCAUGAGAUCAACUUUUUUAGCUCCCACAGUUGGUGCUCCAUCUAUACCAGGUUGCUACUUCAUGUUUGGACUUGGAUGAAACAGCAUACUAUAAGGCAUGAAACCUGGCUUCCUGAGUGACAGCUGAGAGGAGAGAUGUAGCUGAACCAAUCAGCUACAACGUCAUUCCAGUGUCCAUACUUACAUAGUGGAAAAUCCUCUAAAGCCCACUUCUGAGAGAACACUAAUUUCUAGAUUUCACAUUUCCCGAAUCCCGUAUAAGAUCAGUUCUUUCUUGGUUCAGAGGCACUACUUUACAAAUAUUGUUCUCCCUUGCCUAGCGAGCAAUAAACUUAGCUUUUUGUUUCAGACACUGAAUGCUAUUCUUUCCUGUGACACUCCUUGAGAUUGUUCUAGAGAAGUAAGUCCCACAUGCUGAAUGUCCGAGCUUGCUAAGCAACUUGCCUUGUCUCUUAGCAGCUUGUUGUGAAGUAGUGGGCAGCUAUGGUACUAUAACACACCAAACUGCAUGGCAUCUUUACUUGACUCAUUCUUUUUCCUCACUAUCAUUGCCCUGGAUUUGUACCUCCCAAACAAAUUGUUAUCAUUUUUAUCCUUGCUUCAGGCUCUGCUUUUAUAGGAGUCCGGAUAGGACAAAGUGGGAAAGUACAAUUUUUGAUACUUCUUCCUUUGUCUCAGGCUGGAAGUUAAAAGGUAAGACAGAAUCUUCUCAUAAAUUAAAACAAGAUAAUUUCCUUGGACAUCAUGCCAUUAAUUUUGUUUUUCUCAGCUGAGUGAGGUGGUGUGUCCUAUAGUACCAGCUAUUCAAGAAGCUGAGACGGGAGGAUUGCUUGAGCCUGGGUGUUUGAGGCUGUAGUGUACUAUGAUCAUGCCUGUGAAUAACCACUGCACAACAUAGCAAGACCCUAUUUCUAAAAGAAAAACAAAAAGUCUUUUAUCUCCUGGAACUCUUUAAAUAUUUCUCCCCUCUGUUUAACUAAGGUAUGUGAUAAGAGGGUCUUUUCUUUUUCCCUUUUACAAUAUGUUUCUGGGAGACUGACCAGGAAUUUCACCUAAAUACUUCCCAUUGGUAGAGUAAAGCCAGCAUUGCAGCCUUAUAAAGAACAUUCUGAGAUUCUCAGCCCAAGUGAGGGAAGGAAGACUGUCUUGUGCUUUGAUAUGGUUUGGCUCUGUGUCCAUUGUAAGUUUCCUGAGGCCUCCCCAGCCAUGCAGAACUGUGAGUCAAUUAAACUUCUUUUCUUUAUAAAUUACCCAGUCUCGGGUAUUUCUUCAUGGUAAUGUGAGAACGAACUCAUACAUGCCUUCUACAGGCAAAGCACAUCAUUGGGAAAAUGAGAUGUCUAUAUUGGCAAAUAAUUUAGUGACAAAGGAAGAGCUGUGGCUCAGUCCUCCAGAAGAAACUGCUGGUCUCAAAAGAGACUGUCUUUUCUUUCACACUUCCAUAUACUUCAUUAUUCUUGUAUUGCAGUUAUGUGAUUAUCCAACCAGACAGUGAUGGCAACAACAGCCAAGGAAUAAUUGAAUGUCCACUAUGGCGUGCUCAAUGACAGUCUUGAGGACAAUGGAGAGCUUUUAUGUUGUCAGGGAAUGAUGCAGAUGUUAGGAAAUGAUGCAAAAUACACAAGAUGUGGAUGUUAAGGCAUGGGAUGAGUAUGGAGUCAUAAGGAGAGAGGUAGUGAGAAACCGAUAGUUUGUAAGUUACUUAGUAGAUACUCAGAAGACUGUUGAAGGAUGAGUGAUAGAAUAAAAGAGUGACUUUCCAGUAGCUUCUUGAGAUCUCCAGUGAAUCAGGCUUGGAGGAAACUUAGAAUGAAUUAAUUAUCUGCAAGUGAAUUUUUGCAUUUUUCUAAGUUUAUGCAGCAAAUCCAUGCAACUUUUUAUGUCUCUCCACAGAUUAUUUGAUUUCUGACAUUUGAUCUCAUCCCCUUUGUCUACGUUUUAAUGGUUGUUUUUAAAUUGAGUGAUGUUCAGGCCCCUUCCUGCAUAUCUCUACCUUCCAUCAUUAAGGCUCCUUUCUAGGAACAUGACAUUCUAAAAUGAAGACUAAUUGUUUAUCUUCAGUGUUGCCUUUUUAUAUAAAGAAUAGAUUUUCAUCUUUAGGAAUUCCACUAACUGUCUUUAUUUUAUGUAAUUUCCAUGCCAGUUUUUUCUUUAUUAUAAAGAUUUCUUAGCCGGGAACGGUGGCUCACACCUAUAAUCUCAGCACUUUUGGAGGCUGAGGCAGGUGGAUCGUGGUCAGGAGUUCAAGACCAACCUGGCCAAGAUGGUGAAACCCUGUCUACUAAAAAUGCAAAAAAAAUUAGCUGGGCAUGAUGGAAGGUGCCUGUAAUCUCAGCUACUGAGGAGGCUGAGGCAGAGAGCUGCUUGAACCCGGGAGCCGGAGGUUGUAGUGAGUGGAGAUCGUGCCACUGCACUGCAGUCCGGGUGACGGAGUGAGACUCCAUUUCAAAAAAAAAAAAAGUUUCUUUAUUAUAAAACGAUUGCACACUACAUGCCUGAUGCUUCACCUCAACGUUUGCCUCUGGCAUCUUGCUUCCAACCUGAACUCUGACCAGAUGAAAGGGAGGAGGGCACAAAUGAUACACUUGGGGAAACCUGCAACAGGCAGACACCAGGAGCUUGGUGGGUGGAAUCCAUGUGUGAAAACCCUCUGUGCUAUGGCUUUCAGAUGGAUGGUAGACCUUCCAACGUGGCCUGAGUUAGUCAUGAUAAAAAACCUUGGCAACAUUUUCAGUGCCCUAAAUUUGAUAAAAACAAGAUAAUACCUUGAAGAAAUGUCAUAGAAAGAUGAAAAAUAUUGAGGGAAUGAGUUAGGGCUGUGAACGUACUGUGAUUACUCAAUAACCACAAACUUGCAAUUAACUGCUGUAACCACAAAUCACCCUUCUAGGGUUCGCUGUGUAGAAAGAGCCGUUGAUUUUUUAUAGUCACUGUAGCCACAGCUGGAACCUCAUAAAGAGUUCAUGGUGGGCCUUCGAUCAAAGCUGGAGAUGCUAUUUCUUGCAAAUUAUGAAUCUUUCUGUUGCUGUGAGCUGAUAUAGGGGAUAGCCAAAUUAUAGCAACAUUGGAGAAUCAGUCCCUAGCAAAGGGUUUUGCAUAAUACAGAUGAAGACAGAAUGUCUCAAGUCUGGGAAAUGCUUUCAUUUAAAAAAGAUGUAUUAAGUACUCGCCCUGUAAGUGUUACUGUCAAAGCACUGGGAAUCAAAUGGUGAACACUAACAGAUUUAGUUUCUAAUCUUGAGGAGUGAGACAUAAUUAACCAAAGAGAACUUACUUAUAUGAUUAUAAAUGGUGGCAAGUAAUCUGAAGGAAAAAAAUUAUCAGAGAGUAUGAUAGGCUAAUUGGAUAUUAUAUAGGGGUCAGGAAAGACUGCCAGUAAUGCAAACAUACAGCUGAAGAUGAAAAGUGUUCUCUUGCCUGUCAAAGAAAUCAUCUUGAGGAUCACAUAUGUAGAGUUUCUGGAGUGUUCUGAGAAAUAAUGAUAAAUUAUGCUCAAAAUUAAUUUCUUCUCUUUUCCAUCAAUAUGUGGAAUUCAAAGGUAAUUGGCAGAAAUCGAUAAAUUGAAGUCUUUGAAAUUGUAAAUCUACUGUUCAACCAAAGGUAUCAUAAAGUGCAAAAACAAGUCUGGAUUGGGAAAUAAUAUUUAUAAUGAUUUACCUGAUGAAAAUUGGUAUCAUAGAGUUGCUUCACAGAGUUGCCAGAAUGAGAUUUUCAUUUUAAAAUCCGGUUAAUGAGACUUAUUUUCCAAAAGCUGUUUGAUAUUUUCAAAUUUCAUAUCAGAUAAAACCUAAGUUUCUUAAAUGCCAAAAGUGAGAGUGUGGGUGGGGUUUGGGAGGGCCUCAACCAGCUCAGUCUUGUCCAAAUCACUAACCCUUCCAUUUGGUAACAGAAUAAUACAGAAUUACUUGGGGUUAUCAGGAAAUGCCCAGUUUUGACUCUCCAAGCUGCAUUUUCAUGGGCGGUUUGGCACACUCAGAGUGCCUUGAGUGUGUCUCCCUUUGGUCUGACCUCUGUUUGAACACUACCACCUCUAGGAGCCUCCCUUCAUGCCCAUGAUGUUUAGGAGGGGUUUCCACUAUACUUCCAUGUCUUUCUAACUUCAUUAUACAACUUAUGAUGACUUAGGACUGCAUUGUCCUAACUUACUGGCAGAUAGUACAUCUCCUUUAGACUAUAAACAUUUUAAAGGCAGGAGGUAUGCCAUUUAACCUUUGGAUUCUGAGCCCAUAAAUGUUCCGGAUGGUAGAAGCUGUUUGUUUCUGGGUCUAUGCCUGUAAGGCUGAGGCAUUAUGGGGUUCCUGGAAAGAGAAGGGCUUAGGACCAUUUCACUACAAACCCCUCUCAAAGGGGACAGGACUCUCAGAUGCAGCACUAAAGGGCAUGCCCUAAUCCUGCAAAGAGGUCAGGAAGACAUAUUUUCAGCUAGGGCAGCCAGUGUACAGACAGUGGGCAGAAUCUAGAGAGGGGAAACCCAAGCGACUUAACCUCCAGACUGAGAGAUGGACAGCCUGUCUGUCUGUGGAGAGAUCAGAAACCCAGGGUGGGGUACUAACUAAUGAAGAAAAAAAAAACUUUAUUUUAUAUCUUGACUUUUUAAAUUAUUCCCCAAAUGAGUAAAAGUCCAGAAAGUCUUUAUAAGAAUAAAAGACAAAAUAGUAAAUGAUAACAUAGCUAACAUUUAUCAGGUGUUAGUAGGGGCCUGGCUUUUUUCAAAGUGCUUUAUGUGUAUUAACCCUUUUAAUUCUUAAAACAAGCUCUCGAGUGGGUACCAUUGUGAGGAAACCAGGGCAGAGGUGUGUAAAUAUCUGGCACAGUGUCUCAGAGCUAGAGGCAGAGCUGGCUUUCAAAUCCAGUGGUGUGGCUGCGGAGUCCAUGCUUGUAACUGCUAUGCUCGAAUGCCACUUAUGAGUGAAUCCUUAAUCUUGUACCUGUUGUUUUAAUCUGAGGUCUUUUUGAUUUGCAUUUGAACCAUUGUUACCAGAGACUGUGGUUGAAGAGGAAAACAUCUCCCUGUAUUGUUAAAAGUUGGCAUAUUGGAUACCCGGGGCACACCAGUACUUUCAUAUAAGAGACAGUUAUUAAUGACCCAGGCUGGGAGCUUUAAAUAGAAGUCUAGAUGCUAUUUUCCACCAACUUCAAGCCUGUAGAGGAUGACAGCCGAAUGGAGGAAUAUAGGUAUCACUGUGUUUAUAUAAGAAGCACAUUACAUAGAAAGUUUUUCUACAGGAAAAGAGAAAGUGUGGCAGCAAAUAUAGCACAAAAUAGUCACGCUGAAGGGUAAAAGGGAAUGCAGUUAAAGAGACUGUUCUGGGAAGUUAGCCUCACUUCCUUACACCCCCUUCUCUAGUUUCCUGACAUUCUAUUCGUUGAAGUCACCCAAGGGGGGCUGGCCUCACUUUGGCAGCUUCUGUGGAUAGGAAGUUGAUAGGGAACCCAGGCCAACUUUGUUGAGAAUUCGGGGAGGUCUGCUCUGUGGUGGCUCUGAUUGGGUCUAGUCGCAUCUGUGGUGGCUGCUAGGGUGAAACAGACCUUCUAUUCCUUUGUGGUCUCCUGCUGCAGACUGGAGAUCCUCAUUCUAAUGUUAUGCUUUCUGCAGAGGGCACAGUUUAUGAGAGGCAGUUACUACAGACGUAAUGUUGAGGUGGGGUGGGGCAGAUAGUUGUCAUACACAAGUGGAGCUCCAGUCCAAGAGGUUUCCAUGGGCAGGAUGGCCACGGGGCCUCUGCUGGCCUGCAUGGUGCCAUUAUACAAAUUAGGAAAAGGCACCUUUUUUCUGAGAUUGUUUACUUCUAUCUACCAGAAAAUUAUCACAGUAUACUGACUGAGUUAGAAAAGGGCACUUUGCUAAAAUCUGUUGUUGAAUUUGUCAUAAUAAAUAUAUAAAUCAGCUGAUGUCUCCAGUGUGAAUGAUCACCCUGUCAGGUGUCUAAGGACUGUUGUCUUUUAGUUCUGCUCUCAAGGAAAAGAGAACCCAUCCUUCCCUUGGGUCCCUCCAACUGGAGGAUAAGACCUAAGCUUUAAUAAUCGCUUGACAGUUUCUCAGAUCACUAGCCCAGUCUUCCCCCUCAUUAUUAAGUUCCUCUUCUUUGCCUCCUGCUAGCCUAGACUUUUCCUUAUCACUGGAAGCUGAACCAGUCUUCAUAUUUCUUGGAGGAACCCAUGAGAAGAAAAUACUCUUUUUCUUACAGGGUCCACUGAAUGUCCUGACUUUCCACUGAUGACUUGUGGUCCCUAAAUCCUGGUCUCCCCUGACCUCCCAGGUCAAAUCUAGGUGACCAUUGGCCACCCACAGGUCCACCUGCUCUUGUUUCUACCAAGGCCUCUGUGCCUUCUGAUUGGAUUAGUGUUCACUCCCUUAGCGUCUAAGCCUUUGAGGUAAUCUUGAACCUGAUCCAGAGAAGGUCUAAUGUCCUAGGAGGGAGAGAUCCCAAACUGAGCUCUUCAACUGACCCUGAACUGCCUCCUGCCCAUUUUUCUCAAUUAUAACUCUUGAACUUCAUGGCAUUUGUGGCAGGCAGAAUCCUAAAAUGACCCCCAGUGAUCCUCACCCUUCUAUAAUCCCUACCCUCUGAGUGUGGUUGGAACCUGUAAGUAGGCUGGAAUCUGUGGCUAGGAUGAUUAUGUUAGAUUGUACAGCAAAAUGGGGGUUGUCUGGGUGGGUCCAAUCUAAUCAUAUGAGCCCUUCAAAAUCAGAGCAUGUUCACAGCUUGUUGCAGCAGAGAAAGUCAUACAUAGAGGUUCCAAAUUUGAGAAGGAUUUGAGGUACUCCUGCUGGCUUGAAGAUCCUGGGGUUCCUGUGCUGAGGACUGAGAGCAGCCUCUAGGAGCUGAGAGCUGCUCUCUACCGAGGGCAGCAAGAAAAUGGGCCUGCAGUCCUACAACUGCAAGGGAUGAAAUCCUGUCAACAACCCGAAUGAGUUUGGAAGCUCAUUCUUCCGCAGAGCCUUCAGAUGCGAGCUCAGCCUGGCUGACACCUUGAUUUUGGCUCUCUGGGAUCUGGGCAGAGAGCUCAGUUGAGCCUGCCCAGACUUUUGGCCUACAGAACUAUGAGAUAUUAGGUGUUAUAGUAGGCUGAUGAAUUUGUGGUAGUUUGUUACACAACAAUAGAAAAUGAAUAAGCAUUAAUCAGAGAUAGUCCACCUAAAAGAAUCUUGAUAUGUUCUCAGGGUUAAGCAAGAAAAGAGAAGGAGAAAAAAAGAAGACAACAACAAUUUCACCCGGAAUGUGACCUAAAGAAAUAAAAAAUGACCUUUCUUUUAUGGUUUUUUUUUCUAAGUUAACUUACUCUGGCUCAUCUGAAUCUUUUUAUUUCCCCCUUUUCCAUUUCCCCUAACCCUAACUUUCAUCUCACACCUAAAUUGAGACUGUGUGUGUGUGACUGUGUGUGGAGUACGUGGGAGUGCAUGAAUAAGAGGCAUGGGAUAAUAACCAGCAGAUAUUUAUUGAGCAUCUAUUCUGCAUUUAGUAAUAUUUUAAGUGAUUUAUAUAAAUUCACUUCACCUAUGAGAGUCCUGGGAGGCUAUGCUAAUAUUGUGACUGUUUUAUAGUUGAAACCAAGGGAUGGAUAGCCAGGUUAAGCCAAGUUUGUGUAUUUAGGCAAUGGUGGAACCAGGAUUGAGUUCUAGGCAGUAUGGCUGUAGAGUGUGCAGACUUAACUACUACACAGAAAAUCUUUAUCAAAGUUAAACUUCCUUUUGGUAUAACAAUGUAUCCCGUGUGUGAUGGUGAAUUCCAAGCCCCCUUGAAACUUCCCUGCACCAUCUGCAUAGCGACUGUUCCCUGGUCCCCUUAGAGGCCUCCUGAUAUACAGAUAAGGUCAGAUCACCUGCACCUCCUAAGGGUGGUGAUGGUGGGGAGUGGUCUUGUGAUUUUCUUGCAUCAGGAGUAUUCUUGAGAAGAUUUCUGAGUUAAAUUGAGAGGGAAAAGUCUGAGAGAGAAAGUUUUAUAGCACACCUGGGCCCCAGCUAGGCUAGGUCAGGAAGGGGAAAUAUCAGAUCAAGGACUGAAAGAGAAAGUGCCAAGGAGGUAGAGUCUGAGGAUCAUGGAGACUCGCCCCUGCAUGGCCCUGCUUCCUGAGAUUCCAGGGGAGAGUGCUCCUGCCACAGUCUAAUUUACACAGUCAUCAACUCUGCCCAGGCAGGGAGCCCAAAGAGACCUCUGCCCCACCCCUAGUCCGAUUAAAAAAACAUCUGGUGGUUUCAGAAUGAGUUUCCUGUCACUGGCUGGGGAAGAUUCCGUAAGACCAUAGGUGUUUUGGACACUACAAUGAAGAAGAAACAUAGGCUUGUGGCUUUUCCCACUAACCCUUCAGCUGCACUGACAUGAAGACAUGGUGAGAUAGGGUGGGCCAAUUUUUUUCCUGUGCACUAUCACAGGUCUGGUUGCAUGGGUCCCCUCCGUGGUGACUAAUCAACCACAUCCAAAUGUCUCUUAUAGCUGCAAGCUAUAGCCAGGGCCCCUUAUAUCUGGGCUGCCAAUCUGAAGUACAUAGUUUCAUUACAGAGUCCAAACCUGUCUGCCCUGGGAGAUGAGUUUUAUUAAGAUCCCUCCAAUCAUCCUCAAGAUUUUCAUGGUUCAUGUUUGUGGAGAAGGCUGUAAGAUUCAGUGGUUUUACUUUUAAAAUGGGGAUAUUAUUUGUGGCUGACACAAAUGCCCUGUUGCCUGCCCAAUACCCAUCUCCUCUUACUUAUUAAAGAACUCAAAUUUUUAUCCAGUGGUAAUGUACCCAGCUAAAAAUAUUCAAGUCUCCCAGACUCCUUUGCAUGUAAGAAUUUACAAGUGAUACAGUUCUAGCUAAUGAAAGUCAACAAGCAGGGUCUCAGGAGAGAUUUUUUUUAAAGGGUAUCUUCUCUUCAGUCUUUUGUUCCUUUCUUUUUUUUUUUCUUUUUUUUUAUUAUUAUACUUUAAGUUUUAGGGUACAUGUGCACAAUGUGCAGGUUAGUUACAUAUGUAUACAUGUGACAUGCUGGUGCGCUGCACCCACUAACUCAUCAUCUAGCAUUAGGUACAUCUCCCAGUGCUAUCCCUC
This 10399-nucleotide long non-coding RNA is filed under the name Homo sapiens (human). RNAcentral's name for it is "HSALNT0208511". Lineage: Eukaryota; Metazoa; Chordata; Mammalia; Primates; Hominidae. The record is from RNAcentral.